Molecule: small nuclear RNA, 308 nt
Filed under: Sorex araneus (European shrew)
Lineage: Eukaryota; Metazoa; Chordata; Mammalia; Eulipotyphla; Soricidae
Description: 7SK RNA (ENSSARG00000017882.1)
Rfam family: 7SK RNA
About the family: 7SK was discovered as an abundant small nuclear RNA in the mid-70s but a possible function has only recently been suggested.
Source: RNAcentral
AGAUGUGAGGGCGAUCUGGCUGCGACAUCUGUCACCCCAUUGAUCGGCAGGGUUGAUUCGGCUGAUCUGGCUGGCUAGGCGGUGUCCCUUCCUCCUUCACCCUCGUGUGCGCUUUCCGGAGCUCGCGCGUCCGGUCGAAGAGGACGGCCCUUCCCCGAAUAGAGACGGACCGGUCUUUGGACGAAGGGUAUAUGAGUAGCUGCGCUCCCCUGCUAGACCCUCCAAACAAGCUAUCAUUAAUCAAUUCCAUUGAGAUCUCCAUAGGAAUAAAGGAAUACCUGAUAAUUCACAUGAAUUAUAAAGUAAGU